AUGUACCUUGACUCCUUGCUGCUGCCAACCGACACAAAAGAAAUGCGGAAAAUUGCAAAGACAAUGGACAACAUCUCAUUACCACGAGCAAACCAUCUCAAAGAGAGUGACCUAGCGAAAAUAGCUAGAGCAGACAUGGAAACGGACGGAAAAGCACGAUCGGAUGACUAUGAAUUUGGCAAGAUACAGAUAGCAGGAGAACAUCGUAAAGAACAGCAACACCAACACACAACCAAGCUGCUACCACCUCCACCCAAGCGUCGGCGCGAACCACGUAUCGGCACCAGUGGAAGCACGGAACCAAACAAAAACAUCAGCACAGGACCAGAAGAAAGAUUCCAAAGGAUAAACAAAUUGUUGGAAAAAGUGCUCCAUGAAGCAGAACAGUUACCCGCAGUAACCACCAGGGCUAAACACCGAUGCAACGAAAAAGAAGAGAUAUUGGAUAAAAAAACAAGGACAAAGUCGUGCAACAAACAAUUGCCCUAA
RNAcentral lists this ribosomal RNA (489 nucleotides) under Triticum aestivum (bread wheat). Its description in RNAcentral is "partial small subunit ribosomal RNA". Lineage: Eukaryota; Viridiplantae; Streptophyta; Magnoliopsida; Poales; Poaceae. The record is from RNAcentral.